UAAGACGAACCGUGCGAACGUUGUUCGGAAUCACUGGGCUUAAAGGGCGCGUAGGCGGCCCGUCCAGUCCGGGGUGAAAGCCCCCAGCUUAACUGGGGAAGGGCCUCGGAUACUGACGGGCUGGAGGGCGGUAGGGGUCGCGGGAACUUCCGGUGGAGCGGUGAAAUGCGUUGAUAUCGGAAGGAACGCCGGUGGCGAAAGCGCGCGACUGGACCGCUUCUGACGCUGAGGCGCGAAAGCCAGGGGAGCGAACGGGAUUAGAUACCCCGGUAGUCCUGGCCCUAAACGAUGAGGACUAGCUUGCGGACUGGUCAUGGGUUCGCAGGCGAAGCGAAAGUGUUAAGUCCUCCGCCUGGGGAGUAUGGUCGCAAGGCUG
RNAcentral lists this ribosomal RNA (376 nucleotides) under uncultured bacterium. Its description in RNAcentral is "bacterial SSU rRNA". It matches the Rfam family "Bacterial small subunit ribosomal RNA", at positions 521 to 896 of the family's 1533-position model. The record is from RNAcentral.